GGCUGUCGUCAGCUCGUGUCGUGAGAUGUUGGGUUAAGUCCCGCAACGAGCGCAACCCACGUCUUUAGUUGCCAGCAUUGAGUUGGGCACUCUAGAGAGACCGCCGGUGAUAAACCGGAGGAAGGUGUGGAUGACGUCAAGUCAUCAUGCCCCUUACAUCCUGGGCUACACACGUACUACAAUGCUACGGACAAAGGGCAGCAAACUCGCGAGAGCUAGCAAAUCCCAUAAACCGUGGCUCAGUUCAGAUCGUAGGCUGCAACUCGCCUACGUGAAGGAGGAAUCGCUAGUAAUCGCAGGUCAGCAUACUGCGGUGAAUACGUUCCCGGGCCUUGUACACACCGCCCGUCACACCAUGGAAGUUGGCCACGCCCGAAGUCGUUACUCCAACCCGCAAGGGAGGAGGAUGCCGAAGGUGGGGCUGAUGACUGGGGUGAAGUCGUAACAAGGUAGCCGUACCGGAAGGUGCGGCUGGAUCACCUCCUAAC
This 488-nucleotide ribosomal RNA is filed under the name Synechococcus sp. CCY0420. RNAcentral describes it as "bacterial SSU rRNA". It matches the Rfam family "Bacterial small subunit ribosomal RNA", at positions 1047 to 1533 of the family's 1533-position model. The record is from RNAcentral. Lineage: Bacteria; Bacillati; Cyanobacteriota; Cyanophyceae; Synechococcales; Synechococcaceae.